This 253-nucleotide ribosomal RNA is filed under the name uncultured bacterium. Its description in RNAcentral is "partial 16S ribosomal RNA". It matches the Rfam family "Bacterial small subunit ribosomal RNA", at positions 524 to 776 of the family's 1533-position model. The record is from RNAcentral.
GACGAACCGAGCAAACGUUAUUCGGAAUCACUGGGCUUAAAGGGCGCGUAGGCGGGUCGUACAGUCUAUGGUGAAAUCCUCCAGCUUAACUGGAGAACUGCCGUGGAUACUCACGACCUCGAGGAAUGUAGGGGCAUCUGGAACUGGUGGUGGAGCGGUGAAAUGCGUUGAUAUCAUCAGGAACUCCGGUGGCGAAGGCGAGGUGCUGGACAUUUUCUGACGCUGAGGCGCGAAAGCCAGGGGAGCAAACGGG